Vitis riparia (riverbank grape) is the source of this 820-nucleotide long non-coding RNA. RefSeq lists it as uncharacterized. The transcript has 2 exons. Lineage: Eukaryota; Viridiplantae; Streptophyta; Magnoliopsida; Vitales; Vitaceae. The record is from RefSeq and is a predicted model, not a curated record.
UUUUGUGCUCAUCUCUCAUCUCCCUUGUCUAACCUCUCCAUCUCUCACCUCCCUUACCACCACCCCUCCACCUUCUCUCAACACCACUCAAUUCCAUCAGGAAGACUACAAACCGUAGCCCAGGAAGGGAUACUGGGUUGGGAUUGGGAUCCAUACAACAUCAUUCUCUUGUGUUAUUGGAACUGAAUCCAGAUGAUUAUGGUUUUGGGUGGUUUGCAUGCAAUCAGCAUGAAGUGGCUUAGGAUAAGAUGGUAUGAGAGAAACCUGCUGGAGUGUGAUGCUCUAGGCACCAUUUAUGAACUUCAGGAAAUUCCCAAGAGAUCCGUCAAUGAAGUAUCCUUGGGUCCUAGUGGCGCAUGUUGUCGGUAGAGCCGCGAAAUUUCUUGGCAACUUCGUGCCUCUUAAGUCUAUAAUUUGACUUGGUAAACAGACCCAAGGAAAAAUGAAAAUUCCUGGCAACUUCGUGUCUCUAAAUUGUGGAAAAAAACUGAAGAAGCAAAACAAACGCGGUUUCAAUGUCUAAAGUCUAAAUUGUGGUGGUUGGCAUCAUGUCGGUAGAGCCGCGUCCAAAAUUUAAUAUAGAAGGAAAUUUCUUGGCAACUUCGUUCGUGCCUCUUAAGUCUAUAAUUUGACUUGGUAAACAGACCCUUGGCAUCAUGUCGGUAGAGCCGCGUCAAAAAUUUAAUAUGGAAGGAAAUUUCUUGGCAACUUCGUUCGUGCCUCUUAAGUCUAUAAUUUGACUUGGUAAACAGACCCUUGGCAUCAUGUCGGUAGAGCCGCGUCAAAAAUUUAAUAUAGAAGGAAAUUUCUUGGCAACUUC